ACCGCAAACCGACACAGGUAGUCAAGAUGAGAAUUCUAAGGUGAGCGAGCGAACUCUCGUUAAGGAACUCGGCAAAAUGACCCCGUAACUUCGGGAGAAGGGGUGCUCUUUAGGGUUAACGCCCAGAGGAGCCGCAGUGAAUAGGCCCAAGCGACUGUUUAUCAAAAACACAGGUCUCUGCUAAACCGUAAGGUGAUGUAUAGGGGCUGACGCCUGCCCGGUGCUGGAAGGUUAAGAGGAGUGGUUAGCUUCUGC
RNAcentral lists this ribosomal RNA (255 nucleotides) under Staphylococcus aureus. RNAcentral's name for it is "partial 23S ribosomal RNA". It matches the Rfam family "Bacterial large subunit ribosomal RNA", at positions 1646 to 1900 of the family's 2925-position model. Lineage: Bacteria; Bacillati; Bacillota; Bacilli; Caryophanales; Staphylococcaceae. The record is from RNAcentral.